This 380-nucleotide ribosomal RNA is filed under the name uncultured eukaryote. RNAcentral describes it as "partial 18S ribosomal RNA". It matches the Rfam family "Eukaryotic small subunit ribosomal RNA", at positions 592 to 976 of the family's 1831-position model. The record is from RNAcentral.
CAAUAGCGUAUAUUAAAGUUGUUGCAGUUAAAAAGCUCGUAGUUGGAUUUGUGGCGUACGGUGUGUUCCGGGCACUUGUUGUCUGAGUAACCUGCUGUUGCCAUCCUUGGGUGGAACCUGUGUGGCAUUAGGUUGUCGUGCAGGGGAUGCCCAUCAUUUACUGUGAAAAGAUUAGAGUGUUCAAAGCAGGCUUAUGCCGUUGAAUAUAUUAGCAUGGAAUAAUGAGAUAGGACUUUUUUGCUAUUUUGUUGGUUUGCGCAAAGAGGUAAUGAUUAAUAGGGACAGUUGGGGGUAUUCGUAUUCCAUUGUCAGAGGUGAAAUUCUUGGAUUUUUGGAAGACGAACUACUGCGAAAGCAUUUACCAAGGAUGUUUUCAUUAA